GAUGAACGCUGGCGGCGUGCCUAAUACAUGCAAGUCGAGCGAACAGACGAGGAGCUUGCUCCUCUGACGUUAGCGGCGGACGGGUGAGUAAUACGUGGAUAACCUACCUAUAAGACUGGGAUAACUUCGGGAAACCGGAGCUAAUACCGGAUAACAUGUUGAACCGCAUGGUUCAACAGUGAAAGACGGUCUUGCUGUCACUUAUAGAUGGAUCCGCGCCGCAUUAGCUAGUUGGUAAGGUAACGGCUUACCAAGGCAACGAUGCGUAGCCGACCUGAGAGGGUGAUCGGCCACACUGGAACUGAGACACGGUCCAGACUCCUACGGGAGGCAGCAGUAGGGAAUCUUCCGCAAUGGGCGAAAGCCUGACGGAGCAACGCCGCGUGAGUGAUGAAGGUCUUCGGAUCGUAAAACUCUGUUAUUAGGGAAGAACAAAUGUGUAAGUAACUAUGCACGUCUUGACGGUACCUAAUCAGAAAGCCACGGCUAACUACGUG
RNAcentral lists this ribosomal RNA (497 nucleotides) under uncultured bacterium. RNAcentral's name for it is "partial 16S ribosomal RNA". It matches the Rfam family "Bacterial small subunit ribosomal RNA", at positions 28 to 507 of the family's 1533-position model. The record is from RNAcentral.